This 253-nucleotide ribosomal RNA is filed under the name uncultured bacterium. Its description in RNAcentral is "partial 16S ribosomal RNA". It matches the Rfam family "Bacterial small subunit ribosomal RNA", at positions 524 to 776 of the family's 1533-position model. The record is from RNAcentral.
UACGAAGGGUGCAAGCGUUACUCGGAAUUACUGGGCGUAAAGCGUGUGCAGGCGGUUUGUUAAGUCUGCUGUGAAAUCCCCGGGCUCAACCUGGGAAUGGCAGUGGAGACUGGAAAGCUGGAGUGCGGUAGAGGGUAGUGGAAUUCCCGGUGUAGCGGUGAAAUGCGUAGAGAUCGGGAGGAACACCAGUGGCGAAGGCGGCUACCUGGACCAGCACUGACACUCAGACACGAAAGCGUGGGGAGCAAACAGG